AUUGAACGCUGGCGGCAUGCUUUACACAUGCAAGUCGAACGCAGCGCGGGCUUCUGCCUGGCGGCGAGUGGCGUACGGGUGAGUAAUACAUCGGAACGUGCCCAGUAGUGGGGGAUAGCUCGGCGAAAGCCGGAUUAAUACCGCAUACGACCUGAGGGUGAAAGCGGGGGAUCUUCGGACCUCGCGCUAUUGGAGCGGCCGAUGGCAGAUUAGCUAGUUGGUGGGGUAAAGGCCUACCAAGGCGACGAUCUGUAGCUGGUCUGAGAGGACGACCAGCCACACUGGGACUGAGACACGGCCCAGACUCCUACGGGAGGCAGCAGUGGGGAAUUUUGGACAAUGGGCGAAAGCCUGAUCCAGCAAUGCCGCGUGUGUGAUAAAGGGCUUCGGGUUGUAAAGCACUUUUGGCGGGAACGAAAAGGACUGUGCCAAUACCACGGUUCGAUGA
RNAcentral lists this ribosomal RNA (448 nucleotides) under Lautropia mirabilis. RNAcentral describes it as "bacterial SSU rRNA". It matches the Rfam family "Bacterial small subunit ribosomal RNA", at positions 30 to 472 of the family's 1533-position model. Lineage: Bacteria; Pseudomonadati; Pseudomonadota; Betaproteobacteria; Burkholderiales; Burkholderiaceae. The record is from RNAcentral.